GACUGUGUGGCUCAGUCAGAAGAGCAUGGUGCUUUCAACACCAAGGGUUGUGGGUUUGAUUCCCUCUGGGGCCA
RNAcentral lists this transfer RNA (74 nucleotides) under Salmo salar (Atlantic salmon). It matches the Rfam family "tRNA". Rfam says of the family: Transfer RNA (tRNA) molecules are approximately 80 nucleotides in length. Their secondary structure includes four short double-helical elements and three loops (D, anti-codon, and T loops). Further hydrogen bonds mediate the characteristic L-shaped molecular structure. tRNAs have two regions of fundamental functional importance: the anti-codon, which is responsible for specific mRNA codon recognition, and the 3' end, to which the tRNAs corresponding amino acid is attached (by aminoacyl-tRNA synthetases). tRNAs cope with the degeneracy of the genetic code in two manners: having more than one tRNA (with a specific anti-codon) for a particular amino acid; and 'wobble' base-pairing, i.e. permitting non-standard base-pairing at the 3rd anti-codon position. RNAcentral also lists the same sequence under 1 other name. Lineage: Eukaryota; Metazoa; Chordata; Actinopteri; Salmoniformes; Salmonidae. The record is from Rfam by way of RNAcentral.